AGUGUCACGCCAGCAUGAACGGGCUACCUUGAUGAGGUAAAUAAUGAGAAAAUUUUUCUUUGACACUC
RNAcentral lists this transfer RNA (68 nucleotides) under Venustaconcha ellipsiformis. RNAcentral describes it as "tRNA-Ile". The record is from RNAcentral. Lineage: Eukaryota; Metazoa; Mollusca; Bivalvia; Unionida; Unionidae.